GAAACUUCCGUCACUCAAGUUCAAAUUGUAACGAAACCUCAAACGACUUGUAGAGAACGAAAGUCAACCUUCACUACUAGUACAUAACUUUGGCGAGCCGCAUCCACUGCCCACUACAACAUAUUGACUUGCCCGAUAAGGUCCCAAGACGCUUCCAUACCCUUGAAUUAUGCGUUUGCGUUGAUGCCUUCGGAUGCGCGACAUGAGUUGAGGGCUGCUGUUCACUGCCGAAGCUGAACGACAAUCUUGGUUCUCGUGACCGUCUUUUACUGCUGUCGAGGAUCCCCAAGAUGUAUCAAGUCCGUUGAAGGACAACUAGACACUUGAAUGUCGGUGCUUGUUCAAAUUGAUAACGUGGAGUUGCAGGUUGUCCCCCGAGACAAAGUCCAUCAGUCAAGUUUACCUACACUGCAUUCCGAUAGGAACCUUUCCGUGAGACUACCAAGUCAACUACCAGGGCUCGAGGAGUGUAGUAACGUCAGAGAGGAUGGUCGUCCCCGUUCUCUUCUCAGCAAAUUGCCGUCAGAUCACGUUUUGAUACCACGAUGCUGAAGAUCGUCAUCCCAUUUGACCCUGUGUCCUGGAAGCUCGAUCCUCGCGGCUUGGGAUCUUGGCGUUCAAUGGUGUUUCGGUUUAGUUUAGACCGAAUAGGGGCAUCUUGUACAUACUUUGGCGGUGGAACCAUGCUCACCAUGCUAUGCCUGCGGCGAAACUGUCGGCAAAUACCAUGGCCAUGAUGGAGUAAUGUACAUGACAAAGAGUUGUAGUGUAUCAGUAUGGGAUGCGGCGAAGG
Non-coding RNA from Neurospora crassa OR74A, 793 nucleotides. NCBI's taxonomy places the organism in Eukaryota, Fungi, Ascomycota, Sordariomycetes, Sordariales, Sordariaceae. The record is from RefSeq and is a predicted model, not a curated record.